CUAAUGGUCCAAGAUUAAACAGAGAUAAUUCUCUUUUAAGGAUCUCAUAAAAGCAAAUAUUGAAGGAGCCUAUAAAAACGCCGAUCUAAACAUCAGAAUGCACUGAAAACCAACAGUCACAGAAGUAACAUGUAGAGUGGCCAGGGCCUGUUGAGAGUGAGCAUUUGCUGAGGUAGCUUUCAUGGGGCAAGUGAAAGUGUCUGACAAGUAUUGGAGGUGGAAUCAAAAUCUCCUGGAGCUUUGCAGUCUUAUUUCUUGUAGUGAUUACAUCACUGGGGUCAAAUAUAACACAGGCACUGACAAUGGCCAGAAAUGCUCAUAAACACCCAAUUCUGCCCAGAGUGGGGAAGGCAAUCUAGUGUAUGGCAUCAGAAAGGAUUAUUUGUGGCAAAUGCUUACAAUGCCCAUUUGAAGUAGGAAAAAGUAUUUCUCUUCCUGGAGAGAAGACUGGGACCUACAUUACUCCCCUUAGGGAUGGGUUUAUUCACCUGAGGUUUGAGACCCACCAUCUUGGCCACCAUUUAGAAGAAGAGGAAUUGAACAGAGU
RNAcentral lists this long non-coding RNA (547 nucleotides) under Homo sapiens (human). RNAcentral's name for it is "non-protein coding lnc-GFPT1-2:1". Lineage: Eukaryota; Metazoa; Chordata; Mammalia; Primates; Hominidae. The record is from RNAcentral.